This 381-nucleotide ribosomal RNA is filed under the name uncultured bacterium. Its description in RNAcentral is "bacterial SSU rRNA". It matches the Rfam family "Bacterial small subunit ribosomal RNA", at positions 28 to 410 of the family's 1533-position model. The record is from RNAcentral.
GAUGAACGCUAGCGGCAGGCCUAAUACAUGCAAGCUGAACGGCAAGAUUGGUAGCAAUACUGAUCCUAGAGUAGCGUAAGGGUGCGUAACACGUAUGCAAUCUACCCGCAACAGGAGGAUAGCUCUCCGAAAGGGGAAUUAAGACUCCAUAAUAUCAUUUGAGGGCAUCUGAAGAUGAUUAAACUACAAGGGGUUGUGGAUGAGCAUGCGUCUGAUUAGUUAGUUGGCGGGUAACGCCACCAAGACAAUGAUCAGUAGGGGAACUGAGAGGUUGGUCCCCACACUGGCACUGAGAUACGGGCCAGACUCCUACGGGAGGCAGCAGUAGGGAAUAUUGGACAAUGGGUGCAAGCCUGAUCCAGCCAUGCCGCGUGCAGGAAG